CAGACAACCUGUGUUUAAUGUUGAGUUAGCAGGAGGCGCCUCUGCUUUUCACAGCAAAAUAUAGGCAGGUCGUAGAGGCUCAGUGAUCCUCUCACCUUGACCUUUCAAAGCUUUGGAAUUACAGGUGUGAGCCAUCCAAAUUGUUGAAGCUUCAGGCCCCAGAAAACCUGGAUCCUCCCUGGCUCCGUGGGUGGCUAGGAAGAUGGGUGGCCCAUCAUUAGAUCCAGGGAGCAUCAUGGCAGGGUAAGAUCCUGACUUAGGAGUACUUUGCCUUCUCCAGUUAUGACAGGGCACCCUGGGUGUCCUCAUCAUCCGCCCCCAGCACCAGUGUCUUGUAAAGAAGACCUAGAAAAGCUUUCAGUAGCCUGAGGCUGUCUUUAAGAAAAAGAAAAGAAGGCGUGAGCUACCACACCACCCGGCCAAGAGGUAUUAUUCUUAUUCGUCUCAGUUACGUUCAGCCCCUCCCAUUCCAGCCCCCAGGGUAGGACUCCACAGUGUCCAGCCUGAACUCUUGCACCAGCCUCCCAGGGGCCUCCCACCCUGGUACCUUCACCUCUGUUGCAGCCUCCAGUCUGCCGCCAAGUAGGCUGUGCCAACGUGAACAUGCCAGAUCACAGGUCACUGGGCCUUCCUCACCCAUGCUGUUGCCUCUGCUCAGAAUAUUCUCUGCUUCCCACGCCCCUCCUCAACCUGCAAAUUCUAGCUCAGCUUUUAGGUUUCAACUUUGCCUUUCCCCAAGAGUCCUUUCGAGGUCCCAGGCUGGGCUGCAUGUCCCCAUCUGUCCUCCUAGAUCCUCUGUUGCACCCCUGGCAGAGUGCUCAGCCCUGCCUUACUGGAAGUCCCCGAGGGCGUGAUUAUGUCUAUAAGUUCAACCUGGAGUGCUCGGCACAGGCAGAGUGCUGGCACACAGCGGGUGUAAGCAGGCAGCAGGACCCCAGGGAUUCUAGGAAUUUAAUCAACUUGAGCAAUCAGCCUGCUUUACAGCCUUCCUCCCUGAGGCCUGUUCCUCCCCAAACCCCGUAGAAUUUGGCCACCUUGUUGGUUUAAGCCAGCUCUUGACAGACCCUGGCAACUUAUAGAUGAACUCAAGUGAACUUUCCUCAUUAGUACACUGAAGUCUCCACCCCGGAGGAGCUAUAGCUUCUUACCCUAACACCACACUCAUGUGCUGGCAUGAUGACACACUGACUCUGCGCAACUGGGACCCCUCCUCUACAUGCCACAACGCACCCUCUCCUCUCUCUGUCGCCCCCUAAAACCCUCCUGUCACUUUUCUUCAGGGAGGCACUGCUUUGGAGAAUACUCCCAGUGCCCUCCUUACUUGCACCAAGUAAUAAAACUCCUACUAAUCAAAACCCGAGUCUUGCGGUUACUUACCGGGUGAACAAACACUGGUGUUUUAUUUUUGUUUGUUAACACAGGCACAUGAUAACUAUUUAUUGAAUGUUAAACAGAUGAAUAAAUAAAUGCCACUUUUUUUUUUUUUUUUGAGACCGAGUCUCCCUUUGUCACCAGGCUGGAGUGUAGUGGCGCGAUCUCGGCUCACUGCAACCUCCGCCGCCCAGGUUCAAGUGAUUCUCUUGCCUCAGCCUCCCAAGUAGCUGGGACUACAGGCACGUGCCACCACGUCCAGCUAAUUUUUGUAUUUUUAGUUAGAGAUGGGGUUUCGCCAUGUUGGCCAGGAUAGUCUCGAUCUCUUGACCUCGUGAUCUGCCUGCCUCGGCCUCCCAGUGUGCUGAGAUUACAGGCGUGAGCCACCGCACCCGGCCUUUUUUUAUUAUUAUUUAAAUGGAGUCUCG
RNAcentral lists this long non-coding RNA (1799 nucleotides) under Homo sapiens (human). RNAcentral's name for it is "HSALNT0155561". The record is from RNAcentral. Lineage: Eukaryota; Metazoa; Chordata; Mammalia; Primates; Hominidae.